UACGGAGGGUGCGAGCGUUGUCCGGAAUCACUGGGCGUAAAGGGCGCGUAGGCGGCGCGGGCAGUCAACGGUGAAAGCUUGGGGCUCAACCCCGAGUCGGCCGUCGAUACUCCCGGGCUGGAGCACUGUAGAGGCAGGUGGAAUUCCGGGUGUAGCGGUGGAAUGCGUAGAGAUCCGGAAGAACACCGGUGGCGAAGGCGGCCUGCUGGGCAGUAGCUGACGCUGAGGCGCGACAGCGUGGGGAGCAAACAGG
This 253-nucleotide ribosomal RNA is filed under the name uncultured bacterium. RNAcentral's name for it is "partial 16S ribosomal RNA". It matches the Rfam family "Bacterial small subunit ribosomal RNA", at positions 524 to 776 of the family's 1533-position model. The record is from RNAcentral. RNAcentral also lists the same sequence under 1 other name.